RNAcentral lists this unclassified non-coding RNA (337 nucleotides) under Hevea brasiliensis (rubber tree). Lineage: Eukaryota; Viridiplantae; Streptophyta; Magnoliopsida; Malpighiales; Euphorbiaceae. The record is from RNAcentral.
AUCAUACUGAACUCUAACAACCUCAGAAUGAUUACUAGUACCAGAACACACAUCUUCAUAUCUGGGAUUAUGCACGAAACCCUGUGAAUACCCAGCUUCAGUCUUUGUAACCCCAGCCACUCUUUGAUACGCCAGUUCAACGCCCCAAAAGCAACCUGCCCCAAAUUGAGCAAACUGUUGUCCCGGGUCGGGUACUUCAUGAUCGGGUCCUUGAGGAAUUUCAGAAGAAGAUGAAUCUAUGGAAGAUUCAGUUCUCGCACCGAAACCAAAUUUAUUGAGCCAACUAUUCAUCCUUGGAGAAUUCAUUUUUUGAGAAAUUGGGAGAAUUUUGAUGAAG